UCGUCCUUACGGAUGAAGCCUUCGGGCGCCAGAAGAGCAGCCUGCGUCCCAUUAUUUAGUCCUAGUUGGUGAGGUAACGGCUCACCAAGGGUACGAUGGGUAGCUGGUCUGAGAGGAUGAUCAGCCACACUGGAACUGAGACACGGUCCAGACUCCUACGGGAGGCAGCAGUGGGAAUAUUGCGCAAUGGGCGAAAGCCUGACGCAGCCACGCCGCGUGAGUGAUGAAGGCCUUCGGGUUGUAAAGCUCUGUCGGGAGGGAAGACGGGAGAAAUCCCAGACGGUACCUCGCAAGAAAGCACCGGCUAACUCUGUGCCAGCAGCCGCGGUAAUACAGAGGGUGCAAGCGUUGCUCGGAUUUACUGGGCGUAAAGCGUACGCAGACGGUCACGCAGGUCGGAUGUGAAAGCCCCGGGCUCAACCCGGGAACUGCAUUCGAAACCAUGUGACUUGAGGAUGGUAGAGGAGAGCGGAAUUCCCGGUGUAGAGGUGAAAUUCGUAGAUAUCGGGAGG
This 512-nucleotide ribosomal RNA is filed under the name uncultured bacterium. Its description in RNAcentral is "bacterial SSU rRNA". It matches the Rfam family "Bacterial small subunit ribosomal RNA", at positions 189 to 704 of the family's 1533-position model. The record is from RNAcentral.